GAUGAACGCUGGCGGCGUGCCUAAUACAUGCAAGUCGAGCGAACAGAUGAGGAGCUUGCUCCUCUGACGUUAGCGGCGGACGGGUGAGUAACACGUGGAUAACCUACCUAUAAGACUGGGAUAACUUCGGGAAACCGGAGCUAAUACCGGAUAAUAUAUUUAACCGCAUGGUUCAAUAGUGAAAGACGGUUUUGCUGUCACUUAUAGAUGGAUCCGCGCCGCAUUAGCUAGUUGGUAAGGUAACGGCUUACAAAGGCAACGAUGCGUAGCCGACCUGAGAGGGUGAUCGGCCACACUGGAACUGAGACACGGUCCAGACUCCUACGGGAGGCAGCAGUAGGGAAUCUUCCGCAAUGGGCGAAAGCCUGACGGAGCAACGCCGCGUGAGUGAUGAAGGUCUUCGGAUCGUAAAACUCUGUUAUUAGGGAAGAACAAAUGUGUAAGUAACUAUGCACGUCUUGACGGUACCUAAUCAGAAAGCCACGGCUAACUACGUG
This 497-nucleotide ribosomal RNA is filed under the name uncultured bacterium. RNAcentral describes it as "partial 16S ribosomal RNA". It matches the Rfam family "Bacterial small subunit ribosomal RNA", at positions 28 to 507 of the family's 1533-position model. The record is from RNAcentral.